GAUGGUGUAAUGUGUGAGGAGCAGCACUGUGGGGAGGAAGCCUUUCCCUGGUCAUGAACUGCCUGGAUCGCUACCUGUCCAGCAUCUCCACCCAAUGGCACAGUUGCAGCUCCUGGGUGCAGUCCACAUCCUGCUGGCCUCCAAGCUGGGUGAGACCUUACUCCUGACCAUCAAAUAACCAUGCAUCUGCACCAACCACGCUGUCUCUCCUCGCCAGUUGUGGCUGUGAUUGCUCUGAUUUCCUGACCCUGAUUCUGCACCAGCUCUCUCUGCCCUGUGACCAACAGAUCUUGGUUGAAAAGCACUCCUUGACUUUUUUGUCCCUGUGUGCUAGAGCUUGCACUUUUGCUGUGUACCUGUCAGGCAUGAUUGCAUCAGGCACCACUAAGGCCAUGUGCAAGGCCGGGGUGACUGCUCCACACCAAGGAUGAGCUCACAGAGCUGCUGGCAGGGGUCACAUGGGUCACUGAAGUGGGCUGCCUGCAGGCCGCUGCACCCAGACUGGGAAACAAAAAGUAUUUUAUCAUCCCAGGAGUG
This 537-nucleotide long non-coding RNA is filed under the name Homo sapiens (human). RNAcentral's name for it is "non-protein coding lnc-ZNF236-4:1". The record is from RNAcentral. Lineage: Eukaryota; Metazoa; Chordata; Mammalia; Primates; Hominidae.